Molecule: ribosomal RNA, 470 nt
Filed under: uncultured bacterium
Lineage: Bacteria
Description: bacterial SSU rRNA
Rfam family: Bacterial small subunit ribosomal RNA
Source: RNAcentral
AGUUUGAUCCUGGCUCAGAACGAACGCUGGCGGCAGGCUUAACACAUGCAAGUCGAACGCCCCGCAAGGGGAGUGGCAGACGGGUGAGUAACGCGUGGGAAUCUACCGUGCCCUGCGGAAUAGCUCCGGGAAACUGGAAUUAAUACCGCAUACGCCCUACGGGGGAAAGAUUUAUCGGGGAUGGAUGAGCCCGCGUUGGAUUAGCUAGUUGGUGGGGUAAAGGCCUACCAAGGCGACGAUCCAUAGCUGGUCUGAGAGGGUGACCGGCCACACUGGGACUGAGACACGGCCCAGACUCCUACGGGAGGCAGCAGUGGGGAAUAUUGCACAAUGGGCGAAAGCCUGAUGCAGCAACGCCGCGUGAGGGACGACGGCCUUCGGGUUGUAAACCUCUUUUAGCAGGGAAGAAGCGAAAGUGACGGUACCUGCAGAAAAAGCACCGGCUAACUACGUGCCAGCAGCCGCGGUAA